This 497-nucleotide ribosomal RNA is filed under the name uncultured bacterium. RNAcentral describes it as "partial 16S ribosomal RNA". It matches the Rfam family "Bacterial small subunit ribosomal RNA", at positions 28 to 507 of the family's 1533-position model. The record is from RNAcentral.
GAUGAACGCUGGCGGCGUGCCUAAUACAUGCAAGUCGAGCGAACGGACGAGAAGCUUGUUUCUCUGAUGUUAGCGGCGGACGGGUGAGUAACACGUGGAUAACCUACCUAUAAGACUGGGAUAACUUCGGGAAACCGGAGCUAAUACCGGAUAAUAUUUUGAACCGCAUGGUUCAAAAGUGAAAGACGGUCUUGCUGUCACUUAUAGAUGGAUCCGCGCUGCAUUAGAUAGUUGGUAAGGUAACGGCUUACCAAGGCAACGAUGCAUAGCCGACCUGAGAGGGUGAUGGGCCACACUGGAACUGAGACACGGUCAAGACUCCUACGGGAGGCAGCAGAAGGGAAUCUUCCGCAAGGGGCGAAAGCCUGACGGAGAAACGCCGCGUGAGUGAGGAAGGUCUUCGGAUCGUAAAACUCUGUUAUUAGGGAAGAACAUAUGUGGAAGUAACUGUGCACAUCUUGACGGUACCUAAUCAGAAAGCCACGGCUAACUACGUG